This 202-nucleotide long non-coding RNA is filed under the name Olea europaea (common olive). RNAcentral's name for it is "long non-coding RNA (OEUR_LNC002784)". Lineage: Eukaryota; Viridiplantae; Streptophyta; Magnoliopsida; Lamiales; Oleaceae. The record is from RNAcentral.
GAAGAAGAAAGAUAUCUCGAAAAAUCUAUCUCUUUUCUCUGAGAACACAUUAGAGAAAAAUUUCUUGUAAUCUGUAUACACCACUUGUAUUCAGAAAAAUAUUAGAUAGCUUGAAGAUAGGAAAGCGUGUAAUAAGGUAAUCACUUAUGGAGUUCUAAACUUCAUAAGGUGAGUACCAAAGGUAUGUAAAUAUAGUUUGUAA